UUGUGCACGACAACGGAUGCUUUCGAUGAGGGGAGGCGAAGUGCUGGCUAGGGUGGCUGCUAAUGGCGGAGUCGGUGUGGAGAAGCGAAGCAACGCUGAAGGAGGGACGGAGAAAACCUUCAGAGGCUGCGACGAUCCCGUGAUAAUGCGACAAUGUAUUGUAGCGGACACGCAAGGUCAUGUCGCAGGGAUACUGUUUCCUUGCGACGCCUCAGAAGCGAAAAGGAAGGGGGCAGUGAAGCAGGCACACAGGGAGUUCCAAAUGGACAAGCGGUCAUGCGUACACCUGUGAGGCGUUUAGCGUCUCUCUCGGCGAUCAGUCUCGUUCGCCGAUACUCACUGGUGAGCGCAUGUGUGGUUGUUUGGCGGCUUUGCAUGCGCGAUCGGGGGUGCGUGUGAGGGUCUCACCGUUGAUAGCGACGGCUGCUUGAAGGAAUAGGGACAGAAUACGUGAGAAGUGGCAGGCGCGACAGGAAGUCAAAGGAAACAAAAACAAAGACUUAAUGUCUGAGCAUGCGUGAGGUGGAGGGAGAAGGGAAGCAAAGAAGAACAAAGAGAAAGCGGGGCUGGCUCUUUCCUUGCUGCGGCGAGCAGCGACGCUUGUGGGGCGAAGAGAUCGCAGACCCGCGUAAGCGACAGAAAGUCGAGGCAAACAAACGCCCUCGCCUUUUGGCACCACUUUGCUGACUUGCGAACACAUACAUGCAUACACACACAUACACACAAACAGGCCUACGCACAAGCAUUCGCAUCAAACCAGCCCCACCACACACACAGAUUCGGACCAACAGUUCGCACAUAUCACUUGCGCGUCACUUCCAAAUUGACUGAGGGUGCCCACGUUUCUUCGAGUGCACAGACUUUAGCGGGUGCGUUUUGUAUUGAGGAUUUGUCUUGCUUUCAUGGCAGUGUUUUUUUUGAACAUUCUUUCUACUAUAUGUACAUGUAUAUAUGUUAAAUAAAAUAUAUCUAUAUAUUUAUAUUCCACCUCCCCAUCCUUUUAUUGCAUUGUCUCUCGAGGUUUUAAUGUGUGAACACGUGCCUACUUGUAAACUUUUGUUUUCGGGUUUCUGUUUCUAAUGGUCCGUUUCCUUUUUUUCUUGUUUUUCUCGUGCGUUUUUCAUCUCCUGCCUUUCCGCUUUUCCAUCUCUCUUCUCCAUCCCCCUCCUUUUCUUUUUCACACUUUCUCACUUGUUUGUGCUGCUUUCUGUCAGAGGCUCCCUCCCUUCCUCUCUUUAUAUAUAUGUUGUGUUUGUUGUGCGUGUUGUGUUUUCGUGCUCGAUGCGGCCGCUUUUUUGUUCCUUUUCCUUUUUUGUUUAUUAUUUGUGUAUUUAUGUGAGCUGCUUUGCAUCGUCCACGUUAUAAGUGGUGUGGAGAAAGGGAACACCGCGGCUCUCUGCCUCUCCUCCUCUUUUCUUCCCUUCCCCUCCCCUCCCCGGUCUUUUAGUUGUUUAUCCGCGUCUGCGAGUGUGUAUUCAUGCAUGUUGAUGUGUAGCAUUCAUGGAGGCGUAGUUGGUGGUUUGCUAUUUUUCUUGCUUUGUGAUUGCAUGGGAUAUACGAUCGGGCACUCGCUCACGCAGACGUAUUGGUAAAGACACCCCUUGACGCCAGCGGGAAUUCAGCAGCGGAAGAACAGAUCAACGAAAAGAAAAAGCACAUCUUUGCCUCUGGUCUACGUGUGCGGUCAUGUGCUUCUCACGGGGUUUCUUUUCUCGCUCGUUCUCGCUCCUCAUCUGCCUCCCUCUUCCCCUUCGGGUCGGGCGUGUGCAUAGCGUCGCUCACUAAGGCACUGCCUUUCGCUGUCUCUCUGGCUGCUUCGAAGCCACCAUCUUGAUGCUUCUCUGUUUCGCCAAAGUUUCUGACCGACGGUUUGUGUGCGUGUGUGUGCUGUACUCAUAUCUUCUUUUUUUCCCUUCCCUUUUUGUGUGUGCGUUGCUCCUUUCUUUGCUCAUUCCCUCCUUCUCUUCGUCCGUUGUUGUCUCUGGCGGGUGCGUCUGAGGAAGUCAGGUUGCUCGAGCUAGAAAAACAAAACUAAACCAGACAAGAGACGCAGGUGACCUUCAGGUUUGUGGAGAAUUCUCAGAAGACGCGCUCACGUGGAUCACGGUUUGCGACGUGGUAACACACACCUAGCUGCCGCUGCUCUGCCGCUUCGCCUCUCUUCUGUCUACUGCUUGACACCCUUUUUUUUGAGCUGUCAGCCGUUUCUCUCUCAAGAGGUGAUACACCUGGGCGUUUGAGAGGAGGCAGGCUGUGCAGCGAGCGGCAGUGAUUGGGUGAAGAGGGUUCUACAAGGUUUCUCUUGUUCCCCGUCAGAACAGAGCCCCGCCGCAUCAGCUCCGUAUCUCGCUCCCCGUAAGCGAGAGGCGCUCCUUCGCAGUUGCGCUAACUUGGAAUGCCAUCUUGCUCACACUCCUUCUCGUAUGGCCGCUGCAGUUUUUUCUUUCCGUUGCCGCAGUUGCGCGUUUCACCGGCAUGCAUAUUGCAUGCGUUGUAAUCCUGUUGUCGCUCGUCUUCAUCCUCACCCUUCCUUUGCCCACUUACUUGUCACAAG
RNAcentral lists this unclassified non-coding RNA (2554 nucleotides) under Leishmania donovani. RNAcentral's name for it is "gene:unknown". The record is from RNAcentral. Lineage: Eukaryota; Euglenozoa; Kinetoplastea; Trypanosomatida; Trypanosomatidae.